CCUACGGGGGGCUGCAGUAAGGAAUAUUGGUCAAUGGACGAAAGUCUGAACCAGCCAUCCCGCGUGCAGGAUGAAAGCCCUAUGGGUUGUAAACUGCUUUUAGCAGAGAAGAAAAGCUGUCAUUAAUGAGAGUCUGACGGUAUCUGCAGAAUAAGCACCGGCUAACUCCGUGCCAGCAGCCGCGGUAAUACGGAGGGUGCGAGCGUUACUCGGAAUUACUGGGUCGAAAGGGUGCGUAGGCGGAGGAGGAGAAAUCUUGUCGCUUAUCGAUACAAUUGCCAAUGAUACUGGUACUCUUGAAUUGGGUUGAGGUUAGCGGAAUGUGACAUGUAGCGGUGAAAUGCAUAGAUAUGUCAUGGAACACCCAUUGCGAAGGCAGCUAACUGGGCCUUGAUUGACGCUGAGGCACGAAAGCGUGGGUAGCGAACAGGAUUAGAUACCCGAGUAGUC
Molecule: ribosomal RNA, 450 nt
Filed under: uncultured bacterium
Lineage: Bacteria
Description: partial 16S ribosomal RNA
Rfam family: Bacterial small subunit ribosomal RNA
Source: RNAcentral